Molecule: ribosomal RNA, 148 nt
Filed under: Bacillota bacterium
Lineage: Bacteria; Bacillati; Bacillota
Description: partial 23S ribosomal RNA
Rfam family: Bacterial large subunit ribosomal RNA
Source: RNAcentral
AGCAUCUAAGUGUGAAACUCCCCCUAAGAUAAGAUCUCCCAUCCAUUAGGAGUAAGGGACGACAAAGACUAUGUCGUUGAUAGGUCGGAAGUGUAAGUGCAGUAAUGCAUUGAGCUGACCGAUACUAAUAACCCGAGGGCUUGACCUA